UACGUAGGGGGCAAGCGUUGUCCGGAUUUAUUGGGCGUAAAGAGCGUGUAGGCGGCCAUACAGGUCAGCUGUGAAAACUCGAGGCUCAACCUCGAGACGUCGGUUGAAACCGUUUGGCUAGAGUCCGGAAGAGGAGAGUGGAAUUCCUGGUGUAGCGGUGAAAUGCGCAGAUAUCAGGAGGAGCACCAAUGGCGAAGGCAGCUCGCUGGGACGUGACUGACGCUGAGACGCGAAAGCGUGGGGAGCAAACAGG
Molecule: ribosomal RNA, 253 nt
Filed under: uncultured bacterium
Lineage: Bacteria
Description: partial 16S ribosomal RNA
Rfam family: Bacterial small subunit ribosomal RNA
Source: RNAcentral